AGUGAACGCUGGCGGCAGGCCUAACACAUGCAAGUCGAGCGGCAGCGCGGGGGCAACUCUGGCGGCGAGCGGCGGACGGGUGAGGAAUUCGUGGGAACAUGCCUAUCUGUGGGGGCUAACGUAGGGAAACAUACGCUAAUACCGCAUAAGUCCUUCGGGCGAACGUGGGGGAGCGCAAGGCCUUCCGCAGAUAGAUGAGCCGACGACCGAUUAGCGAGUUGGGGGGGUAAAGGCCCACCAAGGCAACGAUCGGUCGCUGGUCUGAGGGGAUGAUCAGCCACACUGAAACUAGGACACGGCCCAGACUCUUACGGGAGGCAGAGGUGGGGAAUAUGGGACAAGGGGCGCAGGCUUGUCCAAGCCAUGCGGCGGGGGUGAAGAAGGCCUUCGGGUUGUAAAGCACUUUUGUGGGGAAGGAAAGCACUGGGGCUAAUACCUGCGGGGGUGGAGGGAACCGGAAGAAAAGGCACCGGCUAACUUCUU
This 483-nucleotide ribosomal RNA is filed under the name uncultured bacterium. Its description in RNAcentral is "partial 16S ribosomal RNA". It matches the Rfam family "Bacterial small subunit ribosomal RNA", at positions 30 to 506 of the family's 1533-position model. The record is from RNAcentral.